This 513-nucleotide ribosomal RNA is filed under the name uncultured bacterium. RNAcentral describes it as "partial 16S ribosomal RNA". It matches the Rfam family "Bacterial small subunit ribosomal RNA", at positions 28 to 523 of the family's 1533-position model. The record is from RNAcentral.
GAUGAACGCUGGCGGCGUGCCUAAUACAUGCAAGUCGAACGCACAGCGAAAGGUGCUUGCACCUUUCAAGUGAGUGGAGAACGGGUGAGUAACACGUGUACAACCUGCCUCAAGGCUGGGGAUAACAUCUGGAAACAGAUGCUAAUACCGAAUAAAACUCAGUGACGCAUGACACAAAUUUAAAAGGCUCUUUGGCGGCAACUAGAGAUGGAUCCGCAGUGCAUUAGUUAGUUGGUGGGGUAAAGGCCUACCAAGACAAUGAUGCACAGCCGAGUUGAGAGACUGAUGGGCCACAUUGGGACUGAGACACGGACCAAACUCAUACGGGAGGCUGCAGUAGGGAAUCUUCCACAAUGGGCGAAAGCCUGAUGGAGCAACACCGCGUGUGUGAUGAAGGCUUUCGGGUCGUAAAGCACUGUUGUAUGGGAAGAACAGCUAGAAUAGGGAAUGAUUUUAGUUUGACGGUACCAUACCAGAAAGGGACGGCUAAAUACGUGCCAGCAGCCGCCGUAA